CCUACGGGAGGCAGCAGUGAGGAAUAUUGGUCAAUGGACGCGAGUCUGAACCAGCCAUGCCGCGUGAAGGAUGACUGCCCUAUGGGUUGUAAACUUCUUUUGUAUGGGGAUAAAAUGUUCCACGUGUAGCGUUUUGUAUGUACCAUACGAAUAAGGAUCGGCUAACUCCGUGCCAGCAGCCGCGGUAAUACGGAGGAUCCGAGCGUUAUCCGGAUUUAUUGGGUUUAAAGGGAGCGUAGGUGGAUGGUUAAGUCAGUUGUGAAAUGUAGGGGCUCAACCGUAGAAUUGCAGUUGAUACUGGCAGUCUAGAGUAUAGUAGAGGUGGGCGGAAUUCGUGGUGUAGCGGUGAAAUGCGUAGAUAUCACGAAGAACACCGAUUGCGAAGGCAGCUCACUGGACUACAACUGACGCUGAGGCUCGAAAGUGUGGGGAUCAAACAGGAUUAGAUACCCUAGUAGUC
RNAcentral lists this ribosomal RNA (460 nucleotides) under uncultured bacterium. Its description in RNAcentral is "partial 16S ribosomal RNA". It matches the Rfam family "Bacterial small subunit ribosomal RNA", at positions 338 to 795 of the family's 1533-position model. The record is from RNAcentral.